This 64-nucleotide transfer RNA is filed under the name Acetobacter pasteurianus 386B. RNAcentral describes it as "tRNA-Ile (TAT) (tRNA-Ile-TAT-1-1)". Lineage: Bacteria; Pseudomonadati; Pseudomonadota; Alphaproteobacteria; Acetobacterales; Acetobacteraceae. The record is from RNAcentral.
UUUCCGGCAUUUGCACAGCCUUAUAAGCUGUGGGUCUCUGGUUCGAAUCCAGCAGGGCGCGCCA